This is a non-coding RNA of Camellia sinensis, 1038 nucleotides long. NCBI's taxonomy places the organism in Eukaryota, Viridiplantae, Streptophyta, Magnoliopsida, Ericales, Theaceae. The record is from RefSeq and is a predicted model, not a curated record.
UUUACCUCCUCUGAUUUCGUUUUCCCUCUCUCUUUUUGCACGCUCAACUCUAAUGCCUUUCUUCGUGAGAUUCAUCAUUUUCUUGAGUUCUCCCCACCCCACCUUCACGCAACUCAUCUUCGUGCAAUUCGCCGAUGAGCAUGGCUUCUCGUCAUUACCGGCCUCUCCAUAAUAAUUGGUGUGUAUAUCCUUCUGUUUUUCUCUCAGUAAACCCUAACAUUUAUAUAUAUAUAUAUAUUAUAUUUUCCCUAGCCCCUUCACAAGCACUGAUCGGUCUCUUCGCUCUCUCUAUCUUUCUCUCACAGUAAUAUGACUGUGCAGAAUACAUAUUUUGAGAGGACACUUGCACCUAUCCAUGAGAAACUUUGCAUUUUCAGUGAGGGCUCUUUGAGGAAAUUGGAUAGUGUUUCUCCUUUGAAGAGUUGAAUUACAUGUUCUGUAUCUGUCUUCAUAACGAUCUCAGGUGGAAUCAACAAUAGAACACAUCUAUCGUCAUGAAAGUGAUGGAGCCAUUCUUGUAUUCCUCACUGGUUGGGAUGACAUUUCUAAGCUACUUGAAAAAAUUAAAGCAAACAGUUUACUUAGAGAUCCUAGCAAGUUUCUUGUUCUUCCUCUUCAUGGUUCAAUGCCUACCAUCAAUCAAUGUGAAAUAUUUGAUCGCCCACAUGCCAAUGUGAGCGGAUGAUGGUUGAAUUUGCAAAGAAUGUGGCUGAUUUUGCUGCUGCUAGUGGAAAAAAGCACAUUGUUGUGCUUUCUAGCUUAGAUUUUGGACGGUGGCAAACAUUUGUUUUGGCCAUCAAUUUCAUGGACAUUGCCAUAGCAAUUGCCAACUAUCAAAGAGGAAGGUAACAUGUUGCAAAUUCUUCAAUAAUGAUACCAGGUGAGUUCUUGACAUAAUUGUAAGUAUGGAUUUUGUUUAACAUAAUUGCUUAACAUCAUUUCAACCUUCUGACUUUUGAUUAUAAGUUUGUACGUUCUCUGGGUCUUAUGUGUUAUCUGUUUUCCUAGUGUUAUGCAGAAUGACUUUAAAAGUGAUCC